This 305-nucleotide ribosomal RNA is filed under the name uncultured bacterium. RNAcentral's name for it is "bacterial SSU rRNA". It matches the Rfam family "Bacterial small subunit ribosomal RNA", at positions 334 to 656 of the family's 1533-position model. The record is from RNAcentral.
AAUGCCUACGGGGGGCAGCAGUGGGGAAUAUUGCACAAUGGGGGGAACCCUGAUGCAGCGACGCCGCGUGAGUGAAGAAGUAUUUCGGUAUGUAAAGCUCUAUCAGCAGGGAAGAUAAUGACGGUACCUGACUAAGAAGCCCCGGUUAACUACGUGCCAGCAGCCGCGGUAAUACGUAGGUGGCAAGCGUUAUCCGGAUUUAUUGGGUGUAAAGGGCGUGUAGGCGGGAAUGCAAGUCAGAUGUGAAAACUAUGGGCUCAACCCAUAGCCUGCAUUUGAAACUGUAUUUCUUGAGUGCUGGAGAG